AGGAUGAACGCUGGCGGCGUGCCUAAACAUGCAAGUCAUACGGUCUACCUUCGGGUAGACAGUGGCAAACGGGUGAGUAACACGUGGGAACACGCCUUCGAGUGGGGAAUAACGCUGAGAAAUCAGUGCUAAUACCGCAUAUGGUCUAACGACUAAAGCAGUAAUGCGCUCGGAGAGUGGCCCGCGUCCGAUUAGCUAGUUGGUGGGGUAAUGGCCUACCAAGGCGGUGAUCGGUAGCUGGUCUGAGAGGAUGGUCAGCCACACUGGGACUGCGAACGGCCCAGACUCCUACGGGAGGCAGCAGUUAGGAAUUUUCGGCAAUGGACGAAAGUCUGACCGAGCGACGCCGCGUGGAGGACGAAGCCUUUCGGGGUGUAAACUCCUUUUCUGCGGGAAGAUAAUGACGGUACCGCAGGAAUAAGCACCGGCUAACACGUGCCAGCAGCCGC
Molecule: ribosomal RNA, 449 nt
Filed under: uncultured bacterium
Lineage: Bacteria
Description: SSU rRNA
Rfam family: Bacterial small subunit ribosomal RNA
Source: RNAcentral